UACGAAGGGGGCUAGCGUUGCUCGGAAUCACUGGGCGUAAAGGGUGCGUAGGCGGGUCUUUAAGUCAGGGGUGAAAUCCUGGAGCUCAACUCCAGAACUGCCUUUGAUACUGAAGAUCUUGAGUUCGGGAGAGGUGAGUGGAACUGCGAGUGUAGAGGUGAAAUUCGUAGAUAUUCGCAAGAACACCAGUGGCGAAGGCGGCCAACUGGUCCGAUACUGACGCUGAGGCGCGAAAGCGUGGGGAGCAAACAGG
RNAcentral lists this ribosomal RNA (253 nucleotides) under uncultured bacterium. Its description in RNAcentral is "partial 16S ribosomal RNA". It matches the Rfam family "Bacterial small subunit ribosomal RNA", at positions 524 to 776 of the family's 1533-position model. The record is from RNAcentral.